RNAcentral lists this ribosomal RNA (385 nucleotides) under uncultured bacterium. Its description in RNAcentral is "bacterial SSU rRNA". It matches the Rfam family "Bacterial small subunit ribosomal RNA", at positions 28 to 410 of the family's 1533-position model. The record is from RNAcentral.
GAUGAACGCUAGCGGCAGGCUUAAUACAUGCAAGUCGAGGGGCAGCACUGGUAGCAAUACCUGGUGGCGACCGGCAAACGGGUGCGGAACACGUACGCAACCUUCCCAUAACUGGUGAAUAGCCUUCCGAAAGGGAGAUUAAUACACCGUAACAUAAUGGAGUGGCAUCACUUUAUUAUUAUAGCUCCGGCGGUUAUGGAUGGGCGUGCGCCUGAUUAGGUAGUUGGUAGGGUAACGGCCUACCAAGCCUUCGAUCAGUAACUGGUGUGAGAGCACGACCAGUCACACGGGCACUGAGACACGGGCCCGACUCCUACGGGAGGCAGCAGUAAGGAAUAUUGGUCAAUGGACGCAAGUCUGAACCAGCCAUGCCGCGUGAAGGAUG